This 2096-nucleotide long non-coding RNA is filed under the name Anas platyrhynchos (mallard). RNAcentral describes it as "lncRNA (ENSAPLG00020001737.1)". Lineage: Eukaryota; Metazoa; Chordata; Aves; Anseriformes; Anatidae. The record is from RNAcentral.
AGCCUCACUGAGCCAGAAGAGCAGAAAAUGUCCCAGUCCUGCUGACUGUGCACAUGUAUUUGGUACCAAAACAACCCAGGGAACACAUGAUUUUCUACAGCAGCACCACGCUGCUGUUUCAACUGCUCGAUCAUCUGUUCUGAUGUCCAGCCUGCUCUCCAGUUUGCCAGACCUGCAGAAUUUGUGAGCUACUCAUCACCAAAGGCAACAGCAACCCAGUGCAGCCACUCUUCUGCUCUCCUAAGAACAAACGACCAACUUGGUGUCCAACAGCUGAAGGAAGGCAGGAAGAUACCUAGAGAAAAGCACACAGAGCGCGCUAAGCGUGCAGGUGAUCUUUCUGACACAUUCUUCCAGAGCCCAGGAAUUUGCUGCCUUACAAUAUCCUGAGCUAGAGGUUGUAGCUCCACCCUCAUAUAAAAAGGUACAGCGUGGAUUUGUCUGACUGCUUUCGGAAUGAUUCACACCCGCUGCCUCUUCCAGCAUUUGGGGCUUCACCAUCACCAAGAGCACUGCACCAUUGUUGGCAGAUCUAAGAAAGGCUCUCAGCAGUAAGCUGUAAGUGAGCUGGUGCACAGAAGGACAAAAGACGUAGUACUGAGCACAACCUGGGCAGGAAUUGACUUGUCGGGCUGUUUCGUAGGCAUUCAUAGAAAAGGAGAGCGCAAUGGGCCUAAUCUGUCUGGAUUUAGCAGAAGCAUCUCAGGCCACACCUACGGAUUAGUGAAAGCAACCUGGGGACACUGUAAGGAGAAAUGGAGCUUCUCAGUGGGAAACCUUCGGGGAUUCUUAGUUUAAAUAGAAAACUCCCAAAACAAGAAAGUUUGGGUAUUCCUUGAAGACCGUCUUUAGGAAUUACCCUAUGUAAUCUAAUUGUUAGUAACAUUCAAAAAAACAAACAACAAAACACACUGCUCAGAAAACAAAAAAUAAACAAACCUCAAACAAACCAACACCAAAACAAAGCAAGGCCAACACCUUUCUCUCCCCCCCCCCCCCCCAGCUGGUUUCAGAUUCAUUCUGUUUGUAAAAAGCAUCAGGCCAGAAGAACAACUCCCAGUCAUCACACAGGAAGAGUGAACUGACCACUGAGACUGAAACAAGAGAUUAAUUUAAGUCUACUGUGAUGUGAAGAACAGCACAUUUAGGGACUAUUAAAAAGCAAACAAAACCAAUAAACCAAAACCGUAAGACUCAGCAGCUGGAAGCACAGGUACACAAAAGAUGCAGGCAUUUCUGAGCUACCAAAAUAAUGCAAUCAUGGGGAAAGCUCAUGCGAUUCCAGAUGGGGUAUUUUACUUCAGAAGUAUGAGCGUUACUAAGCAAUGGCACCGAUAAAACCACAUUUACAACACUCUUAUCAACUGCUUCAAGAAAUAUGAAACCAAACUGAAAACGAAUUGGGAAAAAAAAAAAAAACUGUUAAGAAAAAAUAAACAGAACAGAAAGCCUGUCCUUGCAGAAGGAGACCGAAACAUUGGCUUGCCUAACCUGCCGAAAGGAAGGUUAAGUGGAGAAAGGCAUUCUUCCUAAAUAAGCAUGUGCUAUGCCAGAGGAGGAUAAACUUAAUUAAGGAUAAUAAAGUCGCACAAGUCUAAUUUGGUCUGAGUAAGUUUAGAAAGGAAGCUAGAGAAAGAGCAAGGCAGCUCUGGGACAAUCUUCCAAGCACAGCAUGAAACCAACUUAUAUGGUCUUAAGGCAGAAGAACGUGCCAUCACAUGGCAUGUUUGGAAUUAUUUUCAAAUCAUAUCACAGACUUGAUUCUCUCAUAAAAUGUAUUCUGUGUGCUAAUAUCCUAAAGAGGAUAGUGUACGACACCUAGUGAUCUGGUGUCUUCAUGUUUACACUGUGUAAACAAAUUUGAUUCUUCAGGGUUUCUGCUGGUCAUUGUAAAAGUCAAAAGUCAUUUGUUGCCUUGCUUGCAAUUGAUGACUUGCAUUUACAUUUUUCUCAUCUCCCCUUCAGUUGAGGCUCUAGCCACCAGUCACAGCUGGAGAUGGAAAGUUCAGUAGGGCUUAUGGGUACUCCUUGGGAUACUCAAAUCAUUCACAGUCCCCUUGUCAGUGGCUACUUCUCAAGGUGCUGUAACAACUUCC